This 253-nucleotide ribosomal RNA is filed under the name uncultured bacterium. RNAcentral's name for it is "partial 16S ribosomal RNA". It matches the Rfam family "Bacterial small subunit ribosomal RNA", at positions 524 to 776 of the family's 1533-position model. The record is from RNAcentral.
UACGUAGGGUGCGAGCGUUAAUCGGAAUUACUGGGCGUAAAGGGCCAGUAGGCGGCCAACUAAGUCACACGUGAAAUCCCCAGGCUUAACCUGGGAACUGCGUGUGAUACUGGAUGGCUUGAAUUCGGGAGAGGGAUGCAGAAUUCCAGGUGUAGCGGUGAAAUGCGUAGAUAUCUGGAGGAAUACCGGUGGCGAAGGCGGCAUCCUGGACCGACAUUGACGCUGAACGGCGAAAGCUAGGGGAGCAAACGGG